Molecule: non-coding RNA, 757 nt
Organism: Arachis ipaensis
Lineage: Eukaryota; Viridiplantae; Streptophyta; Magnoliopsida; Fabales; Fabaceae
Source: RefSeq, a predicted model, not a curated record
GGAAAAUUAGGGGCCUUUCACCUUGCCACCGCAAAACAAGUCUGCGGAAGAAGGUUCCCUUCGUGUGCCCAACAUCAGCGGCAGUCAGAUCCAGAAACGUCGCUAAAAACCCGCAAAGUGAGCUUGGUAGCGUGCAAAACACCACCAUCGCUGCUCUACCGUGCCUAACUGCUGCCAAUCCAUCCUCCUCUCUCCGGUGUCGAGCUUUUACCUCUCAUCCACAAUUCCUGAAAUCCAAACUCCCUCAUCCACGGUGUGCGAAAUCCCUAACCUCUGCUCCACUCUGCACCCUUGUGUGGAUUGUCGAGACGCGCAGCUGCCAUCCGUGCUUCUCUCACUGGCGUCCAAGUUUCUCAUCUCCUUGAUUGUGCGUGAAACCGUUACACCCUCCUCCACCGUGCACCAAUCUAAGCUAUCGCGGCCUCUCCCUUGUCACUGAUUAAUUUGAAACUGAAAGUGUGUAGAGGCUCUUCAACGAAGAAGGUUCUGGUGCAGGUAGCGACGUCAUUGGUCCUCUUUCUCCACUUCAGCUUUAGACAAGUAGAAGCAAUGUGCGCUCUGUUUUCAACGGCAGGGUGAAGAGCUGCCACCAGAUAUCGCUGCAAGGAUGAGUUCUGUGGAAUGAUAGAGUGAAAAAUAGUAUAUUAGGAUUGAAGAUAUUUUGGAUUGAAGCAAAUAUUUUUUGAAUUAAACUAUGCAACUCUUUGCAAGAGAUUUGUUUUCUUGAUAUUUUCAUGAAUAUAUUAUUUUAUUUUGU